RNAcentral lists this ribosomal RNA (480 nucleotides) under uncultured bacterium. Its description in RNAcentral is "partial 16S ribosomal RNA". It matches the Rfam family "Bacterial small subunit ribosomal RNA", at positions 28 to 523 of the family's 1533-position model. The record is from RNAcentral.
GACGAACGCUGGCGGCGUGCUUAACACAUGCAAGUCGAGCGAUGAAACACCUUCGGGUGCGGAUUAGCGGCGAACGGGUGAGGAACACGUGAGGAAUCUGCCUUCCACUCUGGGAUAACUCCGGGAAACCGGGGCUAAUACCGGAUACUUUCAACUGGCGGCAUCGCCGGUUGAAGAAAGUUUUUCAGUGGAAGAUGACCUCGCGGCCUAUCAGCUUGUUGGUGAGGUAAAGGCUCACCAAGGCGACGACGGGUAGCCGGCCUGAGAGGGCGAACGGCCACACUGGGACUGAGACACGGCCCAGACUCCUACGGGAGGCAGCAGUGGGGAAUAUUGGGCAAUGGAGGAAACUCUGACCCAGCGACGCCGCGUGAGGGAUGAAGGCCUUCGGGUUGUAAACCUCUUUCAGCAGGGAAUAAGCGAAAGUGAAGGUACCUGCAGAAGAAACACCGGCUAACUAUGUGCCAGCAGCCGCCGUAA